This 461-nucleotide ribosomal RNA is filed under the name uncultured bacterium. RNAcentral's name for it is "partial 16S ribosomal RNA". It matches the Rfam family "Bacterial small subunit ribosomal RNA", at positions 338 to 795 of the family's 1533-position model. The record is from RNAcentral.
CCUACGGGUGGCAGCAGUGAGGAAUAUUGGUCAAUGGGCGAGAGCCUGAACCAGCCAAGUCGCGUGAAGGAUGACGGCCCUACGGGUUGUAAACUUCUUUUGUCAGGGAGCAAUUGAGUCCACGUGUGGGCUUAGCGAGAGUACCUGAAGAAAAAGCAUCGGCUAACUCCGUGCCAGCAGCCGCGGUAAUACGGAGGAUGCGAGCGUUAUCCGGAUUUACUGGGCGUAAAGGGUGUGCAGGCGGCUGAGUAAGACAGAUGUGAAAUCCCCGGGCUUAACCUGGGAACCGCAGAUGUGACUGGUUGGCUAGAGUGCGUCAGAGGGAGGUGGAAUUCGACGUGUAGCAGUGAAAUGCGUAGAUAUGUGGAAGAACACCGAUGGCGAAGGCAGCCUCCUGGGACGCAACUGACGCUCAUACACGAAAGCGUGGGGAGCAAACAGGAUUAGAUACCCGGGUAGUC